Molecule: long non-coding RNA, 181 nt
Organism: Sinocyclocheilus anshuiensis
Lineage: Eukaryota; Metazoa; Chordata; Actinopteri; Cypriniformes; Cyprinidae
Exons: 3
Source: RefSeq, a predicted model, not a curated record
GAAAAACUGUACUUACAUGCUGUGAGUCAUGAAUCGCCAGACUGUCCUUGCAAAGUUGGAAUUGCCCCACUUUAGAGAAACAGACACCGGCAUUGUAGGCUAUACUCUCCGAGGAAACAGUCCUCUUCCUCCAUAAAAUGCGCUGCACACAUCUGAAUAUUUAGGUUGAACUGUUUUGGAA